Zonotrichia leucophrys gambelii is the source of this 3278-nucleotide long non-coding RNA. RefSeq lists it as uncharacterized. Lineage: Eukaryota; Metazoa; Chordata; Aves; Passeriformes; Passerellidae. The transcript has 6 exons. The record is from RefSeq and is a predicted model, not a curated record.
AAAAUAGCAAUGCUCAGAGCAAAGCCAGGCAUUUGUAGGGCUUUGGAACCGAGAGCUGUAACCCACGGGAAGCAGCUGCUGAUUUAUUCCAUCAAUCUCACAUUUGAAAGCUAUCAGUUCUCUGGAUGCCUCAGGUUUGGAGGACAGGCUCAGGACACAUGGAUGUCUGCUGCCAUCAUUAAAUGAGGAGGGAAGCUUUGAAACCCGCCUGAGGUUCUGCAUUGGCUCUGAAUGAAAGGUGUUGUGCGUCUGAAGUGCCCAGCCCAAGGGCUCUCCAGCAAUGCAAACAGCCAGCACACAAAGCCAUUAAAGCUCGAGUGCCUGGCCAUGAUUACCUGGAGACAGUUUGCAGCUGAGUCCUGCAGGAACUGGCUUUGUCUGGAAAACCACCCGAGGCAGGUGGGGAAAGUCCAGCCAUCCACGACUUGUCCUGCAGCCAAGAGGGUCCAGGUCAGUGCUGGGGAGCAGGACUGUGCUGCCACAGGGAUCUCCACACUGCAGCCCUUGCCCUGCAGCCAAAGCAGGUGAGGGCAGUGCCCUCUGAAGCAGGAGGACACCUCCAUGUGUGCCACUGUCCUUGGAUGAGGGAGGAUGGCAGGAGAAGAGGGCCAAGGCAUCCCUGGAGAAGUCCUGCAAGCUCCCAGCUUGCCGUUUGUGCCAUCCUGGCAUUUCCCUGCUGUCUCCUGGUGCUGAAGGACAGCUCAGACGCCUCGUUAAUCACCGCUGAUGACGGAGCUGUGGCACUCAGGUCCUGCUGGCUGCUGCUUCCCCAGCCAGGGAUGUUUUGCCGAUGCUGCUCCCUGAAAACUCCAGCUGAAAACUGGGGGAAAACUGCCCCCCUCGGAGCUGUAGUUUGUGGAAGAUGUUCCUACUCUGUUCCAGUCUCUCAUUCCUGCUCAUAGGGCACACAGUGAGUUGUGCCCUUGCAAACCUGCAUCUUUUUACAAUACAUUUUUCCCUUCUUCGUGCUUGUCAAGAUCGAGGGCAGCUCCGUGGUGGGCUGAUCUGCUGCUGCAUUGAUCUGGCAAAGGCUGGGGGUGAAAGCCCCACAGCCUCCAGACGAGGCCAUAGAGCUUUCAGGAUGCAGUUUUCCCGAAUCUGUCCAUCACACAGCAAACAAACACCCCCAGCCUGGAGGCAGCUGGCUCGGGGGUGAGCAUCGAUCGCUGGCUGCUGGGUGAGACCCACCAGAACCCCACCGGUGUCAGGAGGCAGCUCCAGCCCUCCCAGCUCCCAAUCACAGGGCUGGGAAGGAAAGCCAGCCUGCUCAGGAAUCAAUCAUUUGACAUCUGCUGUCAGCCUUCUGACACCCAGCCCCGCCGGUGAGGACCCCAGCAGGAAGCCUGGUGGAUCUCAGCUUGUUUUGGUCUUAAUCUGACCUGGUUUUGUGAUAAUGCCAUCAUCCAUCACUGCCUGGGCUUGUGGGGAGGGGAGGUUAAACUCCUCCCUCACGCUCCACCGCUCCCCUGCCACUGCUUUAUCUCUGCAGAAGCUGCAUUCGAGUGCAAUUCACUUUGUUAUUAAUUUCUUUUACUCAGAGGCUUUUCAAGUGCCCGGCAGCGGGGCUGGUGUCAGGAGAGGCUGCACAGCCCGGCAGCUGCAGUGCUGGAGGGGAUUUGAGCAGCCAGCUCCUCCAAGGGCAGCAGGCAGAGAGCUGAGAGCCCGAAUGGUGAAACUGCCCCGUGGAGAUGGCUCUGGACUGCAGCAGUUCUUCCUCAGAGCUGGAUCAGGAUGGGACUGCAUCACCCUGGCACCCAUGGAGAGCUGCUGCACAGGGACAGUCCAGCUCAGCGGCCCGUGGGUGUCCCUUCAGCAGGUGACAUGUCUCGGUGAGCCCACUGCUGUAGGAGGGUCUGCAGUGCUCUCUGGCCCUUUUCCAGCUGCACAGAUCCCCCUGCCUGCAAUCCCCAGGGAAUCCACCCACACAGAGCUGCACUCCCAGCUGCACAAAAGCUGCUGGAGGGCCAGCCUGUGUCCCUCUGUCCCCCCCAGGCCACCCUGCCAUGCCUUGCACUGCUCUGGGGACUGGGAGUGCUGGGACCCUUCCCGUGGGUUUGAUGUGAGCUUAAUCUGGUAGUGAAACUAUAUUGCAAAAUGUAAUAAAUGAGAGGUUUAAUCAAACCCAGCCAGCCAGCACUGAUGGAAACUUGGUGGCGGAAGAAAAUAUUGCGUUUGUGUUUGUUUAUCUCCCCCUGUGCUCCUGGGGCCAUGUCCUGACUCUGGUGGAGAGCUCCUCGUGCUUGGUGGCGCUGGGGGGCACAGGCUGGAUGUGGGGCCACUGCACUGGGGUCAGUGCCAGCCACCUGCUCCCAGCAGUGGGAUUUGCUCCUGCCACUGCUCUCCACAGCCCCUUUCUCUUCAGGAAGAGGGUCUCACAGGGUACCCCCAUUCCAGGAGCUGGUGUGGGGCUCCAUCCCACAUUUCCUAUCACCCCUGAUGGCGCCAGGAGCCGGUCUUACGGUGCCUCCAGGUCUUGUCUGCCUAAAUUUUAGGCAUAGGAAGGUUGAGCAUCUCCCCAGCGUGGGAACAGCCCUGCCAAGGGUGGGAGUGAGGAUAAAACCACCAGGUUUCUCUGGCUCUGAACUGAGGACAAAACAUCCCAAUAUCCAGCCAGUUGACGCGGCUGGGAAUGAGGAAAGACUCCGCAUUUUCCCUGUGCAUCAGAGCCCCGGGAACGCAGCGGAUCGCGGAGCUGCGGGGCCAGCUGCUCCCGGCGCCGCGGCUCCGCUGCCGCUUCUCUCCAGAUGGCUUUUCUCAAUGAAGCCUCUCCCCGAAAUAGCUGCGCGCUCGCUCUGCAAAUAGCUCCUCUCCUGAGCAGGGAGGCAGCGCGCUCGGAGCCGCGUCCUCUGUGUCCCUGCCACCCUCCGGAGUGCCUGACUCUGCCUGCAAUUCCCUGCGGCCCCUCUGCCUGGGGAAACGGGGAUGUGCUGGAUCCUGCCUUUGAGCAGCGGGAUCAGCCCCGGGCAUCCCACAGCCCUUGGGAAGGGAUGGCUGGUGGCCUCCAGGGCAGGGCAGGUGGCCCUGGGGACACACAGCACAUGGCCCCUGUGCCCCUGGCCGGGCAGCACCGCCCGCAGCUGCUGUGCUGCCUCACGGCCCUUUUUAUGUGCUUAUUGUGCCAGGGGGGGAAGACAAUCUUCUCUGUAGGUUUAACCGAUUUAUUAAUAGUCUGUGAUGUCAGCAAUAGCUCAUCCAUAAAUCUGAUCUUAAGAAUUUAUGGGGCAAAUAUUCCAGUGCCGUAUUAAAGACACAAUUCAUAAAUGCCUCUAAGUACCAGC